AGUGAACGCUGGCGGUAGGCCUAACACAUGCAAGUCGAACGGCAGCACAGUAAGAGCUUGCUCUUACGGGUGGCGAGUGGCGGACGGGUGAGGAAUACAUCGGAAUCUACUUUUUCGUGGGGGAUAACGUAGGGAAACUUACGCUAAUACCGCAUACGACCUACGGGUGAAAGCAGGGGAUCUUCGGACCUUGCGCGAUUGAAUGAGCCGAUGUCGGAUUAGCUAGUUGGCGGGGUAAAGGCCCACCAAGGCGACGAUCCGUAGCUGGUCUGAGGGGAUGAUCAGCCACACUGGAACUGAGACACGGUCCAGACUCCUACGGGAGGCAGCAGUGGGGAAUAUUGGACAAUGGGCGCAAGCCUGAUCCAGCCGUACCGCGUGGGUGAAGAAGGCCUUCGGGUUGUAAAGCCCUUUUGUUGGGAAAGAAGAGCAGCAGGUUAAUACCCCGCUGUUCUGACGGUACCCAAAGAAUAAGCACCGGCUAACUUCGUG
This 492-nucleotide ribosomal RNA is filed under the name uncultured bacterium. RNAcentral's name for it is "partial 16S ribosomal RNA". It matches the Rfam family "Bacterial small subunit ribosomal RNA", at positions 29 to 507 of the family's 1533-position model. The record is from RNAcentral.